AAUUGAUUCUCUGCAUUUUAUUUCUCUGUGGUGAUGAGAGCUCAUUGCAAUUGAUCACAAUGGGUGCUCCUCAGCAGGUGGAACCGGCCCCAGGUACUCCCUCGGUCACAAGGGACAAAAGAGUGACAGGAAUCAUAACGCAGAAAGGUUGACACAACGUCAGAAAUUAGGUUUUCUUGUGUAUGGCGUCGAAAAGGAGAAACUUACGGAUUAUGUAUAUCACAGGACAAACUGUUCUCUUAAUUGGUGCCAAUGGCAAGGAAAUCAUUAACAGAAAUUCUUUCAUGAAUGAUUUCCUGUUCAGUAUAAAUAAAGAAGAUUUUGACAAUGGAAAAUAUUUAUAAUUGCCAAUUGACUGACAGAAUGGAAAAGUAUAGAUAUCAGAUAUAUGAUAAGACAGACUACCAUGGUACAGUGGGAAAUAAUGGGCAUCUACUCGAGAUAAUGGUCUCUUCUUGUCAAAUAAAAUUCCUUUGAAAGAAGACAUUAUUCUAGCCCGUUCUAGCGUGGGUGUUCAUGAUGUUGAACCAAUCAUCAUGUGCAUAUAUUUCACGUAAUAGUUUUUAUAAUCUCAUUUGUUUUUUAUUCUUUAUUUACAGAGAUUAUUUUAGUAAAAUUAAAGGUAACAUAUAAUUUACAGAAAAGAGGUGCAGUUAGUAUAUAUUUUUGUAAUAUAUGAAUAAAUAAAGCAGAAUCUUAUGCCUUAGCUAGAGAACUACAAAUUUAUGAAAUGUGGCAAUCCUUAUCAUAGAUUUAACAAAAAAAAAUAAAGAUCCAGAAAAGAAUUACUUUUGUUAUUUAAGAUAAGAUAUACAUGCACAGGAAAUGCUAUAUAUCAUAGUUGCCACAGACUGCAGAAAGUGCUUUGUGUCAUAGUUAUUAGCUUCAUAGAAUAUUUCAUAAAUACAAAGAGUGAGAGAGAGAGAGAGAGAGUGAGUGAGUGAGUGAGUGAGUGAGUGAGUGAGUGAGUGAGUGAGUGAGUGAGUGAGUGAGUGAGUGAGUGAGUGAGUGAGAGUGAGUGAGUCAUGUUAUUUAAAGCAUAUCAAGGCAUUUUCCCCCAAAAAAUGUAUGCAUGUGACAUUAUGCUUCCUUUUAUAUAAAGUAAAGUUUUCUGCUCUUGUUUGUAUCUUCAAACAAGAAUAGAACACAAUGCCUAUGAUACACCAAUAGUGUUUUCAGCUGCAUUUGAAAAGUAAGUUUGAAACCAUGAAUAUCUAUUGAUCUACAAGAAGAAACUUGGGAUAUCUACUUCAAAAAAAAUAAUAUGUGAUA
This 1272-nucleotide long non-coding RNA is filed under the name Penaeus japonicus. Its description in RNAcentral is "uncharacterized LOC122252919". Lineage: Eukaryota; Metazoa; Arthropoda; Malacostraca; Decapoda; Penaeidae. The record is from RNAcentral.